Molecule: long non-coding RNA, 974 nt
Organism: Pogoniulus pusillus (Red-fronted tinkerbird)
Lineage: Eukaryota; Metazoa; Chordata; Aves; Piciformes; Lybiidae
Exons: 3
Source: RefSeq, a predicted model, not a curated record
UGGUGUCAUGCUUGUGACUCCAAAUGCUAUCAUGAAUAAUUGAAUCUCACUUAGAGCUGCAUCUUCCCUCUUUCAUCCUGUUUUCAGCAGUGACUCUGAACACAACUUGUGACUGUCCAGUGCUGUCAGACCUCAAAGCUGCUUUUUAAUGUCCUGCUUCAAAAAAUUUACAAAAAUAAAGAAGUUUGGAUAGAUAAGAGGCAAGAAAGUUCAGCACACACACAGAAGGAUGUUCUUUGAAGCUCUUCAGCUACCAAGGACAAAUUUUGCUGUUAAACCUUUUACAGCUAAAGACUGGAAAGCUUCUAAAUGGUGCAAACUUCUGGAGCCAUCUCAGAGCACUUACAAAGAGUUUUUUGCAUCACAUAAGUCAAAACCAGGGCACAGUGAAAUUGAUCUCAGGAAGUCUGCAGACUCUUGAAAGUUUCAGACAUAAUUUUCUACUAAUACUUUACCUGUGGUCUUCACAGACAUUUUUUAUUCAUGCUUCAGCACAGUUGCUCUGUUACAACCCACCUCAGCACCAAUAUGAACUUACCUUUUGGGUGGAAAUGUUCUUUAUGUAAAUUAUGGAAAGGAGAAUGGAGAAGGUUCGUAUCCUUUUAUUGCUUAAUGCUUCAUAAUACAGAACAAAGAUUUUUGUAUUCAGUUUUGCAGGUGCCAAUAUAAUGAAAAGGAUAAGAAGGCAAAUAUAUGAAUCUUUAACACUAUGAUAGUUUGCAAAAGGAGAAAGGAUAUCAAUGUUUGCUUUAAUGACUUCUGCUAGCUAACAAGAUUUUUAUUAUCCUUAAUAUUUAGGUAUUUAUUUAUUUAUUUCAUAGUUAUUAUUAAAGCUUUUUGUCCACCACACCCUUAUCCUUUUUUUUCCUCCCAGGCUGGCAUUUUGUCCAAGCACGAUGUCCUUUUUAUUUGCACAGCCUCUUUAGCACUUGGCAUUCAAAUAAUUCUUUAGGGAAGUAACUAAAUAUGUAAGU